AGGGCAAGUCUGGUGCCAGCAGCCGCGGUAAUUCCAGCUCCAAUAGCGUAUAUUAAAGUUGUUGCAGUUAAAAAGCUCGUAGUUGAAUUUCGGGGUCAGCAGGUUGGUCGUGCCAAUGGUAUGCACUGGCCUUGCUGAUUCCUCCCUCUUGAUGAGCCGUAAUGCCAUUAAUUUGGUGUUGUGGGGAAUCAGGACUGUUACUUUGAAAAAAUUAGAGUGUUUAAAGCAGGCAAGCGCUUGAAUACAUUAACAUGGAAUAAUGAAAUAGGACGUUCGAUCCUAUUUUGUUGGUUUCUAGGAUUGACGUAAUGAUUAAUAGGGAUAGUUGGGGGCAUUAGUAUUCAAUUGUCAGAGGUGAAAUUCUUGGAUUUAUUGAAGACUAACUACUGCGAAAGCAUUUGCCAAGGAUGUUUUCAUUAAUCAAGAACGAAAGUUAGGGGAUCGAAGACGAUCAGAUACCGUCGUAGUCUUAACCAUAAACUAUGCCGACUAGGGAUCGGAUGAUGUUAAUUUUUUAAUGACUCAUUCGGCGCCUUACGGGAA
RNAcentral lists this ribosomal RNA (543 nucleotides) under uncultured Glomeromycotina. RNAcentral's name for it is "SSU rRNA". It matches the Rfam family "Eukaryotic small subunit ribosomal RNA", at positions 552 to 1096 of the family's 1831-position model. Lineage: Eukaryota; Fungi; Glomeromycota. The record is from RNAcentral.